AGGACGAACGCUGGCGGCGUGCUUAACACAUGCAAGUCGAGCGGAAAGGCCCUUCGGGGUACUCGAGCGGCGAACGGGUGAGUAACACGUGAGUAAUCUGCCCCUAGCUCUGGGAUAGCUCCGGGAAAACCGGGAUUAAUACCAGAUACGACCACUUUAGACAUCUGUUGUGGUGGAAAGAAUUUUGGCUAGGGAUGAGCUCGCGGCCUAUCAGCUUAUUGGUGAGGUAACGGCUCACCAAGGCGACGACGGGUA
This 255-nucleotide ribosomal RNA is filed under the name uncultured bacterium. RNAcentral's name for it is "partial small subunit ribosomal RNA". It matches the Rfam family "Bacterial small subunit ribosomal RNA", at positions 26 to 285 of the family's 1533-position model. The record is from RNAcentral.